UGGGGAAUAUUGCACAAUGGGGGAAACCCUGAUGCAGCGACGCCGCGUGAACGAAGAAGGUAUUCGUAUCGUAAAGUUCUGUCCUAUGGGAAGAUAAUGACAGUACCAUAGAAGAAAGCUCCGGCUAAAUACGUGCCAGCAGCCGCGGUAAUACGUAUGGAGCGAGCGUUGUCCGGAAUUAUUGGGCGUAAAGGGUACGCAGGCGGUUUAAUAAGUCGAAUGUUAAAGAUCGGGGCUCAACCCCGGAAAGCAUUGGAAACUGAUAAACUUGAGUAGUGGAGAGGAAAGUGGAAUUCCUAGUGUAGUGGUGAAAUACGUAGAUAUUAGGAGGAAAACCAGUAGCGAAGGCGACUUUCUGAACACAAACUGACGCUGAGGUACGAAAGAGUGGGGAGCAAACAGG
RNAcentral lists this ribosomal RNA (403 nucleotides) under bacterium. Its description in RNAcentral is "partial 16S ribosomal RNA". It matches the Rfam family "Bacterial small subunit ribosomal RNA", at positions 355 to 776 of the family's 1533-position model. The record is from RNAcentral.